RNAcentral lists this ribosomal RNA (406 nucleotides) under uncultured bacterium. RNAcentral describes it as "partial 16S ribosomal RNA". It matches the Rfam family "Bacterial small subunit ribosomal RNA", at positions 30 to 526 of the family's 1533-position model. The record is from RNAcentral.
AUCGAACGCUGGCGGCAGGCUUAACACAUGCAAGUCGAACGAGUGGCGCACGUGUGAGCAAUGUCGGUGAAACUGCCUGAUUGAGGGGGAUAACCAUUGGAAACGGUAGCUAAUACCGCAUACCAUCGGAUGUGUCCAGAUGGGAUGAGCUCGUUGGUUGGGUAAUGGCGCACCUAGGCGACGAUGCCUAGCUGGCCUGAGAGGAUGACCAGCACCACUGGAACUGAGACACGGUCCAGACUCCUACGGGAGGCAGCAGGGGGGAAUCUUCCACAAUGGGCGCAAGCCUGAUGCAGCCAUGCCGCGUGUAUGAAGAAGGCCUUCGGGUUGUAAAGUUCUUUCAGCGGGGAGGCGUUACCCGCAGAAGAAGCACCGGCUAACGCCGUGCCAGCAGCCGCGGUAAUAC